CCAGGGAGCUUGUAUACCGUCCUGCCGUCAGCUACACUGUUCACUCCUCGGGGACAUGGCUUUUGGGGGAUAGAGUAGGUUUUUUCCCUGGUAUUCCCAGCUCCUAGCAUUAUACCUGGUACUCAGAAGGAUAUGAAUAAGCAGUACUCAUUGAACUUUCAAUGGACCAUCACGCAGUCGACUUAUUCUUAGAGAAGUCUCAAGCAUGCCACCAACCAGACUGCAGGCUCCACGAGCAGAGCGGCUGGGUCUGCCUCGCUGGCAGUCUUCUCUCAGGACUGGCACGAUGCUAGUAAACAGCAGGCACCAGAUUGGGAACUCAGUGAGAACAAGACCAGCUGCGUCUGUACCAGCCUCCCAUGAAGAUGAAGAAACAGAGGUAGGAAGAUACUCCCUAACUCUCCCUUCCAGGUAAACCUGAUUCCUAACUCCAGCUCAGCCAAGACAUCCCAACACUGCUCUCCAAAAGAGCUGCCACACGAGUUCCCACUGGGGAACCUGCAGCUUCAGUGGAGGGCUUCGCCCUCAUUCCCCGGAAUUAUCAACUGCAUUUCUCCUUUUUUCAACUCACC
RNAcentral lists this long non-coding RNA (572 nucleotides) under Dasypus novemcinctus (nine-banded armadillo). Its description in RNAcentral is "lncRNA (ENSDNOG00000051447.1)". The record is from RNAcentral. Lineage: Eukaryota; Metazoa; Chordata; Mammalia; Cingulata; Dasypodidae.